This 407-nucleotide ribosomal RNA is filed under the name uncultured bacterium. Its description in RNAcentral is "bacterial SSU rRNA". It matches the Rfam family "Bacterial small subunit ribosomal RNA", at positions 30 to 429 of the family's 1533-position model. The record is from RNAcentral.
AUUGAACGCUGGCGGCAUGCUUUACACAUGCAAGUCGGACGGCAGCACAGAGAAGCUUGCUUCUUGGGUGGCGAGUGGCGAACGGGUGAGUAAUAUAUCGGAACGUACCGAGUAGUGGGGGAUAACUAAUCGAAAGAUUAGCUAAUACCGCAUAUUCUCUGAGGAGGAAAGCUGGGGACCUUCGGGCCUAGCGCUAUUUGAGCGGCCGAUAUCUGAUUAGCUGGUUGGUGGGGUAAAGGCCUACCAAGGCGACGAUCAGUAGCGGGUCUGAGAGGAUGAUCCGCCACACUGGGACUGAGACACGGCCCAGACUCCUACGGGAGGCGGCAGUGGGGAAUUUUUGGGACAAUGGGCGCAAGCCUGAUCCAGCCAUGCCGCGUGUCUGAAGAAGGCCUUCGGGUUGUAAA